Molecule: transfer RNA, 91 nt
Filed under: Pyrenophora tritici-repentis
Lineage: Eukaryota; Fungi; Ascomycota; Dothideomycetes; Pleosporales; Pleosporaceae
Also listed under: 1 other name
Description: tRNA-Pro
Source: RNAcentral
GGUCUUAUGGUCUAGUGGUAUGAUUCUCGCUUAGGGUGAACAACCUGAGCACACUUGCGAGAGGCCCCGCGUUCGAGUCGCGGUAAGACCC